RNAcentral lists this ribosomal RNA (459 nucleotides) under uncultured bacterium. RNAcentral's name for it is "bacterial SSU rRNA". It matches the Rfam family "Bacterial small subunit ribosomal RNA", at positions 340 to 786 of the family's 1533-position model. The record is from RNAcentral.
UACGGAAGGCAGCAGGUGGGGAAUAUUGCACAAUGGGCGAAAGCCUGAUGCAGCUAUGCCGCGUGUAUGAAGAAGGCCUUAGGGUUGUAAAGUACUUUCAUCGGGGAGGAAAAAACAAAACUAAUAAUUUUAUUUCUUGACGUUACCCGAAAAAGAAGCACCGGCUAACUCCGUGCCAGCAGCCGCGGUAAUACGGAGGGUGCUAGCGUUAAUCAGAAUUACUGGGCGUAAAGAGCACGUAGGUGGUUUUUUUAAAGUCAGAUGUGAAAUCCCUGGGCUUAACCUAGGAACUGCAUUUUGAAACUGAAAUACUAGAGUAUCGUAGAGGGAGGUAGAAUUCUAGGUGUAGCGGUGAAAUGCGUAGAUAUCUGGAGGAAUACCUGUGGCGAAAGCGGCCUCCUAAACGAAUACUGACACUGAGGUGCGAAAGCGUGGGGAGCAAAACAGGGAUUAGAUACC